Molecule: long non-coding RNA, 283 nt
Organism: Labrus bergylta (ballan wrasse)
Lineage: Eukaryota; Metazoa; Chordata; Actinopteri; Labriformes; Labridae
Source: RefSeq, a predicted model, not a curated record
ACAGAGCUGCAGUAUAUUCCACAGCAGCACUGAGACUGUGAGCUGAGUGGUUUAAAAAGGAAACAGGGGAGGACAGUGUUUUCCUUCUGGCUGCUCUCUGGGAUUCACAGUUUAAUUUUUGCAUUCAAGGUUAGAUUGAGGGAGAUGGCGGAGACAGCAGAAUGUGAGGAAUUUAGCAACUAUUGGCCGAAUGCCAACAUCUUCAGAGAGAGAGGCCAAGAUAUGAGCAGCGCUGCAUUCCAGCCUGCUCUGCUGUGUCGAGGCGGACAGGUUAGAAAGGCCG